Molecule: ribosomal RNA, 375 nt
Filed under: Pronauphoeta cf. viridula MNHN BL126
Lineage: Eukaryota; Metazoa; Arthropoda; Insecta; Blattodea; Blaberidae
Description: partial 16S ribosomal RNA
Source: RNAcentral
CUUUUCUUGUAAGUAAUUUGAAGUAUAACCUGCCCAAUGAAUAUUUUAAUGGCCGCGGUAUAUUGACCGUGCAAAGGUAGCAUAAUCAUUAGUCUUUUAAUUGAAGGCUGGAAUGAAUGGUUGGACGAGAUAAAGACUGUCUUUAUAUUAAGAAUUUGAAUUUAAUUUUUGAGUAAAAAAGCUUAAAUUUUUUUUUGGGACGAGAAGACCCUAUAGAGUUUACAUAUAUUUAGUUAUUAUUAAGGUUUGAAAAAAUUAUGAGGAUUUAAUAUAUUUUAUUGGGGUGAUAGAUAGAUACAAAUAACUCUUUUUAUUUAUUUAAUAUUUAUUUAUAGUUAAAUGAUCCAUUAAUAUUGAUUAAAAGACUAAAUUACC